Non-coding RNA from Chelonoidis abingdonii (Abingdon island giant tortoise), 132 nucleotides. Lineage: Eukaryota; Metazoa; Chordata; Testudines; Testudinidae. The record is from RefSeq and is a predicted model, not a curated record.
AGAACAUCCUGCCCUGCUUCCCGCUGCCCCCAUUGGUCUAGGACAGUGAACCAUGGACAGUGGGAGCUUCGAUGAGCUGAACCUGCUGACAUGGCAGGUAAACAAACUGGCCUGGCUCACCAGGGUGCUUAU